CUUGCUUCGGCAACAUAUACUAAAAUUGAAACGAUACAGAGAAGAUAAGCAUGGUCCCUAAGCAAGAAUAUAGGGUGUUACAAAAAGGUAAGGUCAAACUUU
Small nuclear RNA from Schistocerca gregaria, 102 nucleotides. The record is from RefSeq and is a predicted model, not a curated record. Lineage: Eukaryota; Metazoa; Arthropoda; Insecta; Orthoptera; Acrididae.